This 319-nucleotide long non-coding RNA is filed under the name Ananas comosus (pineapple). Its description in RNAcentral is "long non-coding RNA (ACOM_LNC011320)". Lineage: Eukaryota; Viridiplantae; Streptophyta; Magnoliopsida; Poales; Bromeliaceae. The record is from RNAcentral.
GGAUGUAAUAUGACACACUGUAUACUAGAUAAUUUACUUCGUUAUAUGCAGUUGAGAAGUAUUUUCUUUAUCUAAUUACUGUAGUUUAAAAGGUGAUUAAUUAGGAUGGUAUGCAAUUGCCUAUUAUAUAAAGUUAAUUUCUCUAAAUAUUAUAGGUAGAGUUUGUCAUUAAUUUGUGCGUAAUUUUAUCUUAUUUUGUAUAAUUUUAAUUAUAACAGUUGAAAUCAAAUAUAUUAAAUCAAAUAUUGAAUUUACAUGUAAAUUAUAUUUAGAUUCAACCAAACAACACGGAAGAUGAUUGUAUUUUAUUAUUUCAAAU